Molecule: ribosomal RNA, 305 nt
Filed under: uncultured bacterium
Lineage: Bacteria
Description: bacterial SSU rRNA
Rfam family: Bacterial small subunit ribosomal RNA
Source: RNAcentral
GGAGACCUACGGGAGGCAGCAGUGGGGGAUAUUGCACAAUGGGGGAAACCCUGAUGCAGCGACGCCGCGUGAGUGAAGAAGCAUUUCGGUGUGUAAAGCUCUAUCAGCAGGGAAGAAGAAAUGACGGUACCUGACUAAGAAGCCCCGGCUAAUUCCGUGCCAGCAGCCGCGGUAAUACGGAAGGUCCGGGCGUUAUCCGGAUUUAUUGGGUUUAAAGGGAGCGUAGGCCGGCUUUUAAGUCAGCUGUGAAAGUCCGCGGCUCAACCGUGGAAUUGCAGUUGAAACUGGAGGCCUUGAGUGCACAC